GGCCACGUAGGCAAGCGGCUAAGCCACUCGGUUUCGCAGCCCGAGGAUCGCGGGUUCGAGUCCCGCCGUGGCCUCCA
RNAcentral lists this transfer RNA (77 nucleotides) under Rhodospirillales bacterium. RNAcentral's name for it is "tRNA-OTHER". It matches the Rfam family "tRNA". From Rfam's summary of the family: Transfer RNA (tRNA) molecules are approximately 80 nucleotides in length. Lineage: Bacteria; Pseudomonadati; Pseudomonadota; Alphaproteobacteria; Rhodospirillales. The record is from RNAcentral.